This is a long non-coding RNA of Sapajus apella (tufted capuchin), 1014 nucleotides long. RefSeq lists it as uncharacterized. The record is from RefSeq and is a predicted model, not a curated record. NCBI's taxonomy places the organism in Eukaryota, Metazoa, Chordata, Mammalia, Primates, Cebidae. The transcript has 2 exons.
AUCUGCCCACCUUGGCCUCCCAAAGUGCUGGAAUUACAGGUGUGAGCCACCGUGCCUGACCCUAUUUACUUUUCUAUGUAUAGGUUUUAGUGAAAACUGUCACUAAGCAUUUUAGAGAUGAAGAAAAUGAAAUGACUGUGUUAUACACAUAGGAAUUGGCAUUUUUUGGGUUCUCACCAUCUGAAAUAGUCUUAACACAUAAGAGGCACUCAGUAAGUUAUUUGUUGAAAGAAUGAAUAAAAGAUGUGAAGAUUAUGGUUUCCUAUUGAUACUAAUAUGCCAUGCUCAUAUAAACAUACUGAUGGAUUGCGUGCUAAGUUUUUUUCUUCCCAUGCUUCUCAAAUAUCGAAAGAUGUUUAUAAAACCCUUCUAACUCUUGAACUUGGUUCCCCUAGAAAAGCAAAAGAACUAGAAUAGCUAAAACAAUUUUGAAAAGGAAGGAUAAAGUUGAAGGCAUCACACUAUCCUAUUUUAAGACUUAGUUUAUAGCUACAGUAAUCAAGUCAGUAGUAUUGGUGGAGGGACAGACAAAUAGAUCAAUGAAGUAGAGUCUAGAAAUAGACGCAUACAGCUGUGGCCAACUUUUCGACAUAAAUACAGAGCACCUUACUAGAGAAAUGAUAAUCUUUUCAACACACGGUGUUGGAAUAAUUGGACAUCUAUAGGCAAAAAAGUGAACCUUUGCCUAAACGUUACACUUUAUACAAAAAUUAACCCAAAAUGAACUAUAGAGUUAAAUGUAAAACUAUAAAACUUUUAAGAGAACACAUAGGAGAAAAUCUUCAUGACCUAGGGUUGGAAGAAGAGUUCUUAGGCAUGACAUUAAAAGCAUAACUGUGAAAGAAAAAAAUUGGUAAAUUAGACUUCAAAAUUACAAACUUUUGCUGUGUGAAUGGUUCUAACUAAGAAGAUGGAACAUGGCCAUAAAAUGGGAAAAAAUAUUUGCAAAUCACAUGACAAAAAACUUCAGAGUAAGGAGCUUGCUAAACUCAACACUAAAAAAAAAUUCACUUG